CGUAGGGAGCAUCUGGCUCUUUGUGGCGCAGCUAACGCGAUAAGUUGACCGCCUGGGGAGUACGGCCGCAAGGCUAAAACUCAAAUGAAUUGACGGGGGCCCGCACAAGCGGUGGAGCAUGUGGUUUAAUUCGAUGCAACGCGAAAAACCUUACCUGCCCUUGACAUGUCAGGAAUCUUUCAGAGAUGAGAGAGUGCCUUCGGGAACCUGAACACAGGUGCUGCAUGGCUGUCGUCAGCUCGUGUCGUGAGAUGUUGGGUUAAGUCCCGUAACGAGCGCAACCCUUGUCCUUAGUUGCCAGCGGUUCGGCCGGGAACUCUAAGGAGACUGCCGGUGAUAAACCGGAGGAAGGUGGGGACGACGUCAAGUCAUCAUGGCCCUUAUGGGCAGGGCUACACACGUGCUACAAUGGCCAGUACAGAAGGUUGCCAACCCGCGAGGGGGAGCUAAUCCUGAAAAGCUGGUCGUAGUCCGGAUCGCAGUCUGCAACUCGACUGCGUGAAGUCGGAAUCGCUAGUAAUCGCGAAUCAGCAUGUCGCGGUGAAUACGUUCCCGGGCCUUGUACACUCCGCC
RNAcentral lists this ribosomal RNA (573 nucleotides) under uncultured bacterium. RNAcentral's name for it is "bacterial SSU rRNA". It matches the Rfam family "Bacterial small subunit ribosomal RNA", at positions 821 to 1394 of the family's 1533-position model. The record is from RNAcentral.